RNAcentral lists this long non-coding RNA (3894 nucleotides) under Pan troglodytes (chimpanzee). RNAcentral's name for it is "lncRNA (ENSPTRG00000053738.1)". The record is from RNAcentral. Lineage: Eukaryota; Metazoa; Chordata; Mammalia; Primates; Hominidae.
GAGUGCUGCUCUGGGGUGCUUUUCAAAAUCCAUGCGUCUCAUGAAUUAUGCUGCCAGAUCUAGGAGGAGCCAGUCCUCUUUGGAACUAGGUGAACUGGGCUAAUCAGAAACAGGCCCAUCUCAUCCGCCAGCCAGUUUGCUCCAGGGCCAGAGGAAAGCCGGGGCCUCUGGCUCCCACAUCCCAUGUGGCAACCAACCAUCAGGUUAUGCUUGGCUUUGCAACGAUCAGGAAAGGCCUCACGUCUGCCUAACUGCAAAACAAUUUGGUUGGCUUAUAAAUUGCUGCCUCUAUCAUGUGCUUCUGAAUUAAAAGGAACGGAUGGUUUUUAAAGGUUUAUCUGUUUCAUUAUUAAUGCGGAAUGACCUCCUGCUGACAAAUUUCGAUUUUCACACGGUUUCUUUGCUGAUGCAGUAUCUCUGCCACCCAUGCUCUAGGGCAGCGUGGAGCCACUUCAGAGCGUGCCUUUUGUGACCCGGCGCCCAGCAGGGUGUUCUUUUCUGAGUGCAAAGAGAGAAUCCACUGACCUCAUUUGCUUCCAUCCUGUGAACCUCUCAGUGGGUUUCAGAACACCCGGGUCUGAACAGAGAAGCUUCAGAAUACUUUGUCCGACUAGAGAACUUCUUUAUGGUGGGAGGAAAAAAUGUUGCCAGUCCCACUUCCCAGACACCUGGAAUUCAUGAAGUCUGAGGACUUCUUUCAUUUUACUUUCAACUAAAAGCUCUAGCACGAAACAGCAAAGGCUCACAGAACUAAAGAUCAGGAGGUGGCCCUGUGAGAGGGUAUUCGGCCUGGAUCCCUGGUGAAACUCCAUCAUUGAGCAGGUCUGUGAUCGCCCUUGUGGUCUGCUUUCUGUAGAUAAUACUCAUAGACUAUGCUGCAUAAAUUCUCAGAUUAUUCAAAGAUGAACAAACAGUUCAAAUGGGCAGUUUUAUGUGUUUCACUCUCAACCCUUUCCUUUUUUCAGUAUGUCUCCCUCCUUUUUUCCUCUCAAGCAUAUCUACUUCAGAAAGCGUGGAAAGAAAAGAGCCUGGUGGGAAAAGUCUAUCAAGUGAUAAUGACGUGCCCUUAUGGAAAAAAUUCUGGGAUAAAACCCUCCAAAACCCCGCAAGGUGAAGCUCAUGUCAUCCAAAACCAAGGCAUGAGCCAGAGCCUAAAUAGAGGAAAGAAAAUAGAAGAGAGAAUUCUAGCGACAUGUCUGGUCAUCAUUCCAAGCAACCUGGCUGAACUUUUGCAUCGACAAACAAUUUUUUCUUGAGCAUUUUUAAAUUUACAAGCUGGUUUUCAACAAAGCUUUUCAAAAAGAAGUCUUUAUGAUGGUAAAUCUUUAAAAGAAAUGUGUUUUAGACCAAGAAAGGCAAACCUUUCAUGUCCUGUUUAGUCUCUAGCAUGCUUGUUUGCAAAACACAAGCUCCAGUCUGCAUGUUUCUGCAGUCAACUGUCUGUCUUAGAAAAUAUCUCAAAAUCAAUCUGUCCCCGUGUUUGCUUAUGAUUCUGCGGUAAUCCUCUGUUUAUAGUCACAAGUUGUCAGGAGAACAUCAUGUAAGGCAUGGUAUGAAGACUUAAGAAAUCUUGAAAUCAGAAACUUCAAUUUUCUUUCUCUUGAAGUGUUUCUAAGGGAUGAAAAAUGAGAAAGGAAAUUAGCAUCUACUGUUACCUCAUUUAAUUCCUUCAACCAUCUUCAGGGUAUUAUUGUCUCCAAAAAGAAACCAAGGUUCAGAGAAGAGGACUCACUUGCCCUGUGACCUAUGACCAGGGGUCCCACGUUGGGACCCAGAAUUCUGACUCGAACCCAGUGCUGGCUCCCCUAUGUCCCAGGGAUGGGCAGGAUAAGAUGUUCUUUAAAACUUUGUUUGUUGGGCACCUCAAAAAACCCUUAUGAAUUAUUGCUUAAGUUAUUUUGGCAUAAUAAUGUCACUAAGUCCAUGAAAAUUAAACUUUUAGAAUCUCUGUUAUAUGGCUAGAUCAAUACUAAACUACCCCUUUUUUUCCAAGUCCCUGGAAAAAGUGAAAUUAUAAGUUUUGACUACAUGGGAGAGCUUUGGUGCCUCAUACACUUGCAUUAAAUGCAGUAUCCUUGAAAAUAAUAGAAUAUGUAUUUGUGAGAGUAAAAAUUUAUACAUGCAGCAGUCCAUAAGAGAAUUAGAUCCAGAAACUACAACUUGAAAGAGUUCUAAACUCUUAGAACAAAUUGAUUUAAAUUUGAAUAGUACUGAAUAUGAAUUGAUGGAAAGUGAAUAUUUAGAACCCCCUUUUGUGAAUUUCAGUAAGCUGACAUUUGUUAGCUCCUGACGCAGUAGCUUUUCUGAGUCAAGAACUGAAGGUACCUUGAAUUACCUGACAGAUAAUCAUACAGAGAUGUGAAGUCAAAUGUCAUAUUCCAUUAAGCCUAAUCUGCAGUUGCAGGAAGGGUGGACAAUCUUGCCUAAACAUUUGACAGAUUUGGAAUGUCUCUUGCCAUAGACGUUUAGCAUGAACCAGCUUCAUUGUCCUAGUAUCUGUCACACAGAAAUGGUCCCUUGCUCGGCUUCUAAUGGAUUUGCUGCAAAGGCUGUGAGGAAUGAGUCACACUCAGGGACACGAUGACACAGGAACAGCUUCUACAACACAAUCCUCUGCAAUAGAGAAAGCUGUGCCUCUCCCCAGGGACCUGCCUAUAAAGUUGGUCUUCUUUCCACUAAGGAGGCAUUCCUGAGAGCCCCCCAUAAAUUAAGGAGAACUUCUCUAGGUAGCUACUAAAAAAUAAGGCCAACAAACUAAAUCCUUGGGAUAUGAAAUAUUAAUGUGAUGGGAAUUACCUUAAUAGGAAACAAUUGAGUAUACACUGUAUUACAUAAGUGAGGCUUAAAAAAAAAUAACAUUGAGUUCCGGGCAUUUUUUUUCUUCCUUGGAAAAUGCCUUGAAAUCUUUUCCAUCAACACAGUCUAACAGUACAGGUUAUGGGUGACAUAUAGUUUCAAGGCAAAUUGCAACUUAGUUGGUCAAACUCUUUCAGUAGGAAAAAAAAAUGACAAUUUGAAAGAGUUCUGGAAGGGCUAACACUAAACAGUUCCAUCUUGACCUCAAACCAAUGCAAUCUGCAAACAAGUCAAUAUGUGAACCCAAAGGAAGAAUUCUGCCCCAGCCUAAGAAAGGGACAACUUUUCCUUCUCUGGAAUUGAAAUGUUCCAUGAAAUUAAAUCAUUGAUUAAAAGCUGGGGAGGCAAAGACUGUUGAAAUGUCAGUUAAGAUACUUUAGGCUGCAAAUCUGAUUCACCAUUGCUUAAACGAUAAGAAAUGGUAUCUGCACAGCUGGAAGUCCAGGAUGGGAUGGCUUCAAGUUUGGCUCUAUCCAGGGACUGUCUCUCAAUUUUCUGUUUAGUGGGUGUUGUCCUAGGCUGGCUUCACUCAAGGGGAUAAAAGUAAGUAUGGUCCUCCCAGGCCUUAUAUCCAUCUACACAACAUCCUGGGGAAGAGGUUUCUGGAACCUCUAGUACUAAUCCAUAUACCAUGGGAAUAACAGGUACUGAUUGGCUUCAACCUGAAUUCCUUAAAUUAAUUUUGUGAAAAGGAGGCUGGGAUGACCUUGAUUGAGUUAAAAUAGUCAGGGCUCCACCUGUGGAGUGGAGGAUGAGAUCAGUUUCCUACAAUCCACAUCCUACACAAUGGGUGAGGGAUGGAAGGAAUGCUGGAGACUACCACAUGCCCCCCGAUAUUCAUGAAAUCUUGGUCUUUUGUGUUUCACAAUAAACUCUUAAGAACAUUGUGAGUAUUUUAUGGAUGUGAAGGUUUUUCAGAGGAAUUUAUUGUAGGGAAAACAAAAAGAUCAAUGAGUUUAAGCUUUUAGGCUUAAACUCUCUCUGCUCCCCUGCAUUACACUUUUAUUCUUAUGCUGUGACAGCAGACCCUCCUCCCCU